UGGGGAAUAUUGCACAAUGGGCGAAAGCCUGAUGCAGCAACGCCGCGUGAGUGGUGAAGGCCUUCGGGUUGUAAGCUCUGUCUUCUGGGACGAUAAUGACGGUACCAGAGGAGGAAGCCACGGCUAACUACGUGCCAGCAGCCGCGGUAAUACGUAGGUGGCAAGCGUUGUCCGGAUUUACUGGGCGUAAAGGAUGCGUAGGCGGAUAUUUAAGUGAGAUGUGAAAUUCCCGGGCUUAACUUGGGAGCUGCAUUUCAAACUGGGUAUCUAGAGUGUGGGAGAGGAAAGUGGAAUUCCUAGUGUAGCGGUGAAAUGCGUAGAGAUUAGGAAGAACCCCAGUGGCGAAGGCGACUUUCUGGACCAUAACUGACGCUGAGGCAUGAAAGCGUGGGGAGCAAACA
RNAcentral lists this ribosomal RNA (401 nucleotides) under uncultured bacterium. RNAcentral describes it as "bacterial SSU rRNA". It matches the Rfam family "Bacterial small subunit ribosomal RNA", at positions 355 to 774 of the family's 1533-position model. The record is from RNAcentral.